AAUUUUGUGGGUAUUUUUUAGCAUUUAUUACUCAUUAAUACAGUGGAAAUGGCCUUUUUUCACUGUAGAAAUAUCUUAGAAAACAGAUUAUGAGCUCAGUCUUUAUCUUUCACAGGGACCUCCUGGAGCAACUGGCGCUGAAGGCAGACAAGGUGAAAAAGGUGCAAAGGGUGAACCUGGUGCAGAAGGGGCUCCUGGAAAAACGGGUCCAGUUGGUCCUCAGGGACCUGCAGGAAAACCUGGCCCGGAAGGUCUUCGAGGUAUUCCUGGCCCUGUGGGAGAGCAAGGUCUACCUGGAGCACCAGGUCAGGAUGGCCCUCCUGGGCCUCUGGGUCCACCUGGCUUACCUGGCCUGAAAGGAGAUCCAGGUUCUAAAGGAGAGAAGGGACAUCCUGGUUUGAUUGGCCUGAUUGGACCUCCAGGAGAACAGGGUGAAAAGGGUGAUAGGGGUCUUCCUGGCCCACAGGGGUCUCCUGGAGCCAAGGGUGACGCAGUAAGUAAAACAUGUGCUUUCAUUCAAGUUAUAUGCAUGUCUUUUUUGAAAGAGACAUAUAAAGUUACUAUAAACACUUAACACCAGACUUUCCUCCUAGAGGUUAAAGCUUUCCUAGACAAUGGACAAACACAGUGAAGCUAUACAACUUAAAACCAGGUCAUAGAGCAUUUCAGGAGGAGGAAACAUACACCUAAGUUAGGGAUGAGAGAACACUAACAGCACCAAUCUCGUUAUGUACUACCCAGAA
This 743-nucleotide long non-coding RNA is filed under the name Anas platyrhynchos (mallard). Its description in RNAcentral is "lncRNA (ENSAPLG00020016002.1)". Lineage: Eukaryota; Metazoa; Chordata; Aves; Anseriformes; Anatidae. The record is from RNAcentral.